RNA transcript from Cloeon dipterum, 2731 nucleotides. It is a transcript of the gene named Ubiquitin-like domain-containing C-terminal domain phosphatase 1, with no coding region annotated. The transcript has 9 exons. NCBI's taxonomy places the organism in Eukaryota, Metazoa, Arthropoda, Insecta, Ephemeroptera, Baetidae. The record is from RefSeq and is a predicted model, not a curated record.
AUGAGCUCCAAAUUCAAAAUUGUGGUCAAGUGGAGUGGCAAGGAGUACCCGAUCGAGACACUGACCGAAAGCGAUGACGUGGCCGCCCUCAAGGCCGCCAUCCAAGUGGCCACCGGCGUCCGUCCUGAGAGGCAAAAGUUGCUCAACCUAAAAGCCAAAGACGACGUGACAGUGCUUUCUACCUUGAAGCUCAAACCCGGCUUCAAACUCAUGCUGAUGGGUUCGUUGGAGGAGGAUGUUUUGGCCGCCGCUCCUCCGCCGGAGGAAGAGAUGCCCGAGGUCGUCAACGAUCUCGACAUUGAGGAUGAGGAGGUGGCCAUUGAGAAGAAAGAAGUGUACCUGUCUAAGAUUGAAAAGAGAAUCCAGCAAUAUGAAAUUAAGAUUUUAAACGAGCCAAGAGAAGGGAAAAAGUUGUUGGUCUUGGACAUUGACUACACCCUUUUCGAUCACCGCUCAGUGGCUGAGUCGGGAUACGAAUUGAUGCGUCCAUUUUUGCACGAAUUCCUCACCUCUGCUUACGAAGACUAUGAUAUUGUGAUAUGGUCUGCUACCAGUAUGAAGUGGAUCGACGAGAAGAUGAAAUUGCUCGGCGUCACGAACAAUCCCAAAUACAAAAUCACCUUUCACCUAGAUAGUCUAGCUAUGAUCUCAGUUCACACAAAGAAAUACGGUGUUAUUGAGGUAAAGCCUUUGGGUGUGAUCUGGGGCAAAUUUCCGCAAUACUCGCCGAGCAACACAAUCAUGUUCGACGACAUCAGGCGCAAUUUCAUCAUGAACCCUCAGACAGGUCUAAAAAUUCGUCCCUUCAAGAACGCCCACCAAAACCGGGCCGUAGACCGAGAACUGGUGCAGCUGGCCGGCUACCUGAAGGGCAUCGCGCAGCUCGACGACUUCACGCAACUGAACCACAAGCAUUGGGAGAGGUUUGGCUCUUUGCACAAGUCCAAGAAGAGGCGCUCAAAAGAAGAGCAAUGAAAGAAAGAAACUCCCACUACUUACUAGAGUGACCUGAACUGUUCACUUGUUGUUGGAAUAUCUUGUUCAAGAAAUAAUGUGCAGUUUUAAUGAAAAUGUUAAGAAUCGUCAGGUCAGGUGACCUGCUUAAUUCCAAAAUUGGAUUAAUUUUAGUGUCAUUGGAAAGCUGAAAACAGAUGAGCAAUUUUAUAAGACUAAAUUUUAUUUAGCUGUGUUAGUUUCGGGUGUUGAGCUCUCUUCACCGACCAAUGUAUUUGUAAAAUCUAUUGAUUUUCUCAUUUUCAACGACUGCAGUGUCAUCUCUUGCUCAUUAUACUUACUUUUCUCUCUCGCAAAUGCUAAACUUAGUUCUGUCAUGAAUAUCAUUGCCAAUUUGGACACAGAGUUUUUCCUGUCAGGCUGGAGACCAACGUACAAAGUGAAAAGCCUAAAAUGUCUAUGUCUUCGUGCUUUUACACAGUAUUGCAAUUCUCUGUCGGCGAAGGAAUUCAAUAUUCAGCCUCUGCAAAAUAUCCCCAACUGCGUCGUUCAAGAUGUGCUAAACUUGGUUGUGGAUGAUUCCCAGCUUUUGCCUGCAAAAAAGGAAUUUUUCUUGCUUCUCUUAAAUAAAUACGUUUCUCAAUUCAAUUUCAGACCCUUCAAGUGCCUCGAUAUUGACACUUUGGGUUUCAUACACGAUUGCCUGAUCGAAAAUUGCUCUGAAUUAAGGGAAAUUGAGUUUGUGGAAGAUAAAAUUAAUUUAGAGGACGAAGUUCCAUCUUUAAGAAAGCUUCAACCCAGGGAUUUGUGUCAUUGGAGCAAUCUUCGCGUGGCAAAGUGCGGAGAUUACGCUUUGAAUGACUUGAUGCUGAAGGAAAUGCAAAUUAAUUUGCACCAACUAGAGACCUUUGAAUUUUCCCUCUCUUCUGAUGGAGAUUUAAGCCUGGAAGGACUGUGGUGUUUCAGAGAAAUGAAAAAUCUAACUGAUAUUGUGGCAAACGCUAUGAGCAGCUCAAACCACAAUUUAAUUUCACAAAUUGCCUGUCUUCCACCAAAGCUGCAGAGAUUUGGGUCGAAUAUUUUUGAGGAUGAAGAUACAUCAAGCCUAAAAAUAAUUAAUCGAAUAGGAGCAGAAUUAAAUCCACACAAAAUAAUUACUUUAAUUAACGUAACCUUGAUGGAGGUUCCAUUUUCUUGGCCAAUAAAUAUAUGCGUGGAAAAUUUAGAGCUUAUCAGUUCUCCUGGGAUGAAUUUUGGAGAAUUUGUCUGUGAGACAAUGGCAACUUCAGGGUUGAAAAAAAUCAUAUUUGACUCAGUGCUGCCGAAUCAAAUUCAUGUGAUUUUUAAUAAAAUGGGCCACGGUUUGCUUCACAUGGAAAUCGUCACCAAGAAAGGAAGCUUGCGGCGAUUUGAGACGGACAGACUGGAUUUGUUCAAAAUAUUUUCUGCAACUCCAAAUCUGCGAAAUUUCAAGUUUCUCGCACCGUUUCGCUUGCAAGGAGCUGAUCCAUGUGCUGAAUUGAUACCAGAACAUUUUAAACAAAUUGUUUCUUUUGAGAUUCUGUUUUUGAAUGGAGACGGUAGCCAAAAUGCGAUGAAAGAACUUUUCAAACUAGUUUUGAGAGGAGCUGAGAACUACUCAAAUUUAAUCAUCCACACUGAUGCAGAUUUAGAAGUGACAAUUGAAUUAUUUAAAAUCCAAAAUCAAUUUGUAAAAAACAUUCAACAAUUUAAAGUCUACAACACUCUGGACCUUAAUCAGGAAAAACUCUUUCAG